GCCUUCGUAGUGUAGUGGUCAGCACGCUCGGCGCGUAUUCGAGAGGUCCAUGGUUCGAGUCCCGGCGAGGGCA
This 73-nucleotide transfer RNA is filed under the name Stegodyphus mimosarum. It matches the Rfam family "tRNA". Rfam says of the family: Transfer RNA (tRNA) molecules are approximately 80 nucleotides in length. Their secondary structure includes four short double-helical elements and three loops (D, anti-codon, and T loops). Further hydrogen bonds mediate the characteristic L-shaped molecular structure. tRNAs have two regions of fundamental functional importance: the anti-codon, which is responsible for specific mRNA codon recognition, and the 3' end, to which the tRNAs corresponding amino acid is attached (by aminoacyl-tRNA synthetases). tRNAs cope with the degeneracy of the genetic code in two manners: having more than one tRNA (with a specific anti-codon) for a particular amino acid; and 'wobble' base-pairing, i.e. permitting non-standard base-pairing at the 3rd anti-codon position. Lineage: Eukaryota; Metazoa; Arthropoda; Arachnida; Araneae; Eresidae. The record is from Rfam by way of RNAcentral.